RNAcentral lists this ribosomal RNA (491 nucleotides) under uncultured bacterium. Its description in RNAcentral is "partial 16S ribosomal RNA". It matches the Rfam family "Bacterial small subunit ribosomal RNA", at positions 29 to 506 of the family's 1533-position model. The record is from RNAcentral.
AGUGAACGCUGGCGGUAGGCCUAACACAUGCAAGUCGAACGGCAGCACAGUAAGAGCUUGCUCUUACGGGUGGCGAGUGGCGGACGGGUGAUGAAUACAUCGGAAUCUACUUUUUCGUGGGGGAUAACGUAGGGAAACUUACGCUAAUACCGCAUACGACCUACGGGUGAAAGCAGGGGAUCUUCGGACCUUGCGCGAUUGAAUGAGCCGAUGUCGGAUUAGCUAGUUGGCGGGGUAAAGGCCCACCAAGGCGACGAUCCGUAGCUGGUCUGAGAUGAUGAGCAGCCACACUGGAACUGAGACACGGUCCAGACUCCUACGGGAGGCAGCAGUGGGGAAUAUUGGACAAUGGGCGCAAGCCUGAUCCAGCCAUACCGCGUGGGUGAAGAAGGCAUUCGGGUUGUAAAGCCCUUUUGUUGGGAAAGAAAAGCAGCAGGUUAAUACCCCGCUGUUCUGACGGUACCCAAAGAAUAAGCACCGGCUAAAUUCGU